RNAcentral lists this transfer RNA (72 nucleotides) under Colletotrichum graminicola M1.001. Its description in RNAcentral is "tRNA-Thr (CGT) (tRNA-Thr-CGT-2-1)". It matches the Rfam family "tRNA". Rfam says of the family: Transfer RNA (tRNA) molecules are approximately 80 nucleotides in length. Their secondary structure includes four short double-helical elements and three loops (D, anti-codon, and T loops). Further hydrogen bonds mediate the characteristic L-shaped molecular structure. tRNAs have two regions of fundamental functional importance: the anti-codon, which is responsible for specific mRNA codon recognition, and the 3' end, to which the tRNAs corresponding amino acid is attached (by aminoacyl-tRNA synthetases). tRNAs cope with the degeneracy of the genetic code in two manners: having more than one tRNA (with a specific anti-codon) for a particular amino acid; and 'wobble' base-pairing, i.e. permitting non-standard base-pairing at the 3rd anti-codon position. The record is from RNAcentral. Lineage: Eukaryota; Fungi; Ascomycota; Sordariomycetes; Glomerellales; Glomerellaceae.
GCCCUUUUAGCUCAGUGGUAGAGCGUCGCACUCGUAAUGCGAAGGUCCACGGUUCAAUCCCGUGAGGGGGCA